This 358-nucleotide ribosomal RNA is filed under the name uncultured Proteiniphilum sp. RNAcentral describes it as "bacterial SSU rRNA". It matches the Rfam family "Bacterial small subunit ribosomal RNA", at positions 1025 to 1382 of the family's 1533-position model. The record is from RNAcentral. Lineage: Bacteria; Pseudomonadati; Bacteroidota; Bacteroidia; Bacteroidales; Dysgonomonadaceae.
UCGAGAUGUGUAGGUGCUGCAUGGUUGUCGUCAGCUCGUGCCGUGAGGUGUCGGCUUAAGUGCCAUAACGAGCGCAACCUCAUCAUUAGUUACCAUCAGGUAAGGCUGGGGACGUCUAAUGAGACUGCCAUCGUAAGAUGUGAGGAAGGUGGGGAGUGACGUCAAAUCAGCACGGCCCUUACUCCGGGGCGACACACGUGUUACAAUGGGUGGUACAAAGGGCAGCUACCUGGCGACAGGAUGCUAAUCUCGAAAACCGCUCUCAGUUCGGAUCGGAGUCUGCAACUCGACUCCGUGAAGCUGGAUUCGCUAGUAAUCGCGCAUCAGCCACGGCGCGGUGAAUACGUUCCCGGGCCUU